GGAGGGUGCAAGCGUUAAUCGGAAUUACUGGGCGUAAAGCGCACGCAGGCGGUCUGUCAAGUCGGAUGUGAAAUCCCCGGGCUCAACCUGGGAACUGCAUUCGAAACUGGCAGGCUAGAGUAUGGUAGAGGGUGGUGGAAUUUCCUGUGUAGCGGUGAAACGCGUAGAUAUAGGAAGGAACACCAGUGGCGAAGGCGGCCCCCUGGACAAAGACUGACGCUCAGGUGCGAAAGCGUGGGGAGCAAACAGGAUUAGAUACCCUGGUAGUCCACGCCGUAAACGAUGAUAACUAGCUGUCCGGGGACUUGGUCUUUGGGUGGCGCANCUAACGCAUUAAGUUAUCCGCCUGGGGAGU
RNAcentral lists this ribosomal RNA (355 nucleotides) under uncultured bacterium. Its description in RNAcentral is "bacterial SSU rRNA". It matches the Rfam family "Bacterial small subunit ribosomal RNA", at positions 527 to 881 of the family's 1533-position model. The record is from RNAcentral.